AGGCCAGGUGUCAGGCUCAGGACAACCAGCCAUGCUCAUGGAGUGAAUCUAGAUUUCAUGAGACGGCUGACCUCCAGGCCACAGAGCAGCCCUGUGUAACCGAGACUUCACCCUUCCAGAGCAGGAGGGAAACGCGGAGCGGUGGCUUUGAUGGUCCAGGGGAAACAACACACGGGUUUGGUUGGGAAUUUGGGCUGAAGGACAGACCAUGUCCUCAUCUUUAAAAUCCUGUCAUCACAGACUUUGAGUGCUGGUAUUAGUCUCUGAGAAAGAACAUUUCUUUCAACGCCUCCACAUUGAGCCUUCUGUUCAAAAGUUCUCAACGUUCUUCCGGACGUGAAUGCGGCACACGCAGACGAGAUGGACGAGGCAUGUUUGAGAUCAUUGCUAUGACUACCCUGGACUCACUCCUACUCUAGUGAGAGUCUGUGAUUCUGGGAAAAGUAUAUUUCGCUUGUGCCUGGACCAUAAUCAAUCUAUGUUCAGAGCUAGAUCGGCCUGUGUUCUAAAUCAGUGGUUCCACAGUUCCUGGGGACCCACUGUGUAUUCUGGUUUAUGUUACAAGUCUCGUUUGUUGAAAACAUGUGUUCUAUUGUAAUAGUUCUAUUCUAUUUUUUUCCUACAGCUUAAUCGAUCUGACUGAUUACAUCUCCUGAGAUGUGAAUAAGAAACAUUUAUUCUUCAUAGUGUGCAUAGCUAUUUCUGACAUAAUAUAGCCUUAACGUGGCCAAAAUGUCAAUUAAUCAUGACCUAUCUUUGCAAGAUAUCUGUGCAAUUUAUAUGAAUAUGAACAUUUUAAUUACGAAGUGCUGU
Molecule: long non-coding RNA, 813 nt
Organism: Anguilla anguilla (European eel)
Lineage: Eukaryota; Metazoa; Chordata; Actinopteri; Anguilliformes; Anguillidae
Exons: 3
Source: RefSeq, a predicted model, not a curated record